This 465-nucleotide ribosomal RNA is filed under the name Vreelandella stevensii. Its description in RNAcentral is "partial 16S ribosomal RNA". It matches the Rfam family "Bacterial small subunit ribosomal RNA", at positions 338 to 795 of the family's 1533-position model. Lineage: Bacteria; Pseudomonadati; Pseudomonadota; Gammaproteobacteria; Oceanospirillales; Halomonadaceae. The record is from RNAcentral.
CCUACGGGUGGCAGCAGUGGGGAAUAUUGGACAAUGGGCGAAAGCCUGAUCCAGCCAUGCCGCGUGUGUGAAGAAGGCCUUCGGGUUGUAAAGCACUUUCAGUGGGGAAGAAAGCCUUGGGGCUAAUACCCUCGAGGAAGGACAUCACCCACAGAAGAAGCACCGGCUAACUCCGUGCCAGCAGCCGCGGUAAUACGGAGGGUGCGAGCGUUAAUCGGAAUUACUGGGCGUAAAGCGCGCGUAGGCGGUCUGAUAAGCCGGUUGUGAAAGCCCCGGGCUCAACCUGGGAACGGCAUCCGGAACUGUCAGGCUAGAGUGCAGGAGAGGAAGGUAGAAUUCCCGGUGUAGCGGUGAAAUGCGUAGAGAUCGGGAGGAAUACCAGUGGCGAAGGCGGCCUUCUGGACUGACACUGACGCUGAGGUGCGAAAGCGUGUGUAGCAAACAGGAUUAGAUACCCGAGUAGUC